AGAGUUUGAUCCUGGCUCAGGAUGAACGCUGGCGGCGUGCCUAACACAUGCAAGUCGAGCGAUCUUCUUCGGAAGAGAGCGGCGGACGGGUGAGUAACGCGUGGGUAACCUACCUCAUACACAUGGAUAACAUACCGAAAGGUAUGCUAAUACAAGAUGAUAUAAGAGAUUCGCAUGGAUUUCUUAUCAAAGCUCCGGCGGUAUGAGAUGGACCCGCGUCUGAUUAGCUAGUUGGUAAGGUAACGGCUUACCAAGGCGACGAUCAGUAGCCGACCUGAGAGGGUGAUCGGCCACAUUGGGACUGAGACACGGUCCAAACUCCUACGGGAGGCAGCAGUGGGGAAUAUUGCACAAUGGGCGAAAGCCUGAUGCAGCAACGCCGCGUGAGCGAUGAAGGCCUUCGGGUCGUAAAGCUCUGUCCUCAAGGAAGAUAAUGACGGUACUUGAGGAGGAAGCCCCGGCUAACUACGUGCCAGCAGCCGCGGUAAUACGUAGGGGGCUAGCGUUAUCCGGAUUUACUGGGCGUAAAGGGUGCGUAGGUGGUUUCUUAAGUCAGGAGUGAAAGGCUACGGCUCAACCGUAGUAAGCUCUUGAAACUGGGAAACUUGAGUGCAGGAGAGGAAAGUGGAAUUCCUAGUGUAGCGGUGAAAUGCGUAGAUAUUAGGAGGAACACCAGUAGCGAAGGCGGCUUUCUGGACUGUAACUGACACUGAGGCACGAAAGCGUGGGGAGCAAACAGGAUUAGAUACCCUGGUAGUCCACGCCGUAAACGAUGAGUACUAGGUGUCGGGGGUUACCCCCUUCGGUGCCGUAGCUAACGCAUUAAGUACUCCGCCUGGGGAGUACGCUCGCAAGAGUGAAACUCAAAUGAAUUGACGG
RNAcentral lists this ribosomal RNA (879 nucleotides) under uncultured bacterium. RNAcentral describes it as "bacterial SSU rRNA". It matches the Rfam family "Bacterial small subunit ribosomal RNA", at positions 8 to 916 of the family's 1533-position model. The record is from RNAcentral.